This is a non-coding RNA of Anas platyrhynchos (mallard), 3273 nucleotides long. The record is from RefSeq and is a predicted model, not a curated record. Lineage: Eukaryota; Metazoa; Chordata; Aves; Anseriformes; Anatidae.
UGCCUUUGUCUUCAGUGUAACGCAUCAGACUCUGAGAGUAUCAGUGCAGCCUAAAGGUUCAUUUUUCAGGAGGUUUUGCUGCUGCAUACCCUGAACAUUCAUUCCGCUGUGGGCAACUUUCCCUGUACAUGCACUGAUUCACUCCUAGAAUACAUCUGUGAAUAUAAUUGAGCCCUAAGUUUGGAUAUUAAGAAUCUCAUGCAUUUUUUAGGAACACAUAUAAUUUUAAUACUGGAUUCAAGCCUCUUAGGGCUGUCUUAAAAUAAACCUUACAGCCUGACAUGGGUAACUCUUGAUUAUUGAUGUGUAGACAGCAAAAAGCCCUUUGCCACUAGCAAAUUAUAUCACAUGCAGCAUGUUAGCUACUGAUUGCCAGAAAAUCCUAAUUCUUGUAGGUGAAACUAUGGUGUAAGACCUUUGGCACUCAAACCUCCUCCUUUCCUCUAGUUUAGGGAACGGUGAGUUCUCAGUUACAGGGAGUGGGAAGGUGAUGUCAUUGAAAAACUAUUGCCCUGCUUUGAUACUAGUAAACGUGCUCAAAGUUCUCUGGGGACCUCUAAGGGCUGAAAAAUUCUCCCUACCACAGUUGCUGUGGGAUAGAGCACAUACAAUGUGAAAGAAAUAGAGUGAAAGGUCCUGGCAAGGCGCCCAUCCUACUUCUCGGAUAAAGGUCCAAUCUGUAGCACCACUGAAACAAGUAAUGUUCAGCAGAGGCCACCAGCAAGCAUAGUCCCUGGCGAUGUCACCAGUGACAUGUCUCAGAACUGUCACCUGCUUGCCUGCAGCCCUGAGUGCAGCCUGGGAUCGCUGGAGUACUUCAUCCGGCAGGAUUGCAAGGUGCCUUGGCUCUACAAAGAAGAAGAGCAGGUUUCAGAAGAUAUGAAAGGAAGCUGCAAAGAAUUGUGGACUUACUGAUAAUGGAUUUCCUACAUUCAGUAGUGUCAACAUCUUUGUUCAGAAUGUACUAUGAAAUAUAGGACAGAAUAAGACCUUCACAGAGGCAGACCUGACAUAUUGUCUGCAAGUUGAGAGUCAGAGGUUGAUGACUGCUGGAAUCAAGCACUGAUUCGACAGAUCACAGAUCAAUAGCUUCCAGCAGAGGAGCAGCUCUUGAGCACUGAUAUGUGCCAGUGGAUUUUCUCUGAUGAAUGGCUUCUAAGCAUCCAAAGCUUCACUAAAUGGAUCUAAAGUGGGGAACAGGCCUGAGGAAUCUGAAGGGUUUUCUAACAGAUAAAUCACUACACAUUUAUAUAAAAUGAAAUUAAUAAAAUAAAAUAACAAAAUAAAAUAAAAUAAAAUAAAAUAAAAUAAAAUAAAAUAAAAAUUUCACUCAAGAUGCUCAAAAGACAGAGGAUUCAUCCUAACAGUGUUCACGUUCAACUGCCUGGAGGCAAAUUAGCUUGUGUUUGAAAAUUAAAGGUAAUUAUUGCCAAUUAAAUAAAAGCUUUCAUCUCAAAUGGGUAGAAAAAUAUAAAGUCAGACUUUGGUGGUGUAGUUUCAGUUUCUAUUAUUUCAUUUUCCCAUUUCACUACAGUUGCUAUGUCAGCAUAACUACCCUAUGGUGAUGUGAAGAUAUGGAAUAGAAACUUGGAACAUAUUUAUAAAAGAUUUGUGGGUUUUAACUACUUUAGUAAUUUUUAUUUAGACAGUAGCAUGAAACUGCUUUAUGUGAGGCUUUCACAAUGGUAAAUGUUUUUAAUCACAGAAAUAUAUUUUUACACUGGUUAGUCUCUGAUGUUAUGAAUAGUUUUCCACCACUUUCUUAAGACAAUUAUUUCAUAGCCUAAAAUUUUAAUUAGAAUUUUUUGUCAUUUCUUAUUUACUUUACUUGCUGACUGCUACUGGAAACAAGGAUGUGGUCAUUAAGGAGGGAGGGGGAGGCACCACAAAAUUUAGAAAUCUGCAGCAUAAAUGUCUGUAGCUGAGUGGGUGAAUGAGCUCCCUUUAAAGUCAAUGGAGAGGCAGAGGUAUUUUUAUAAUGUAUUACCUCCAAUGUAUUUUUGAUGUUAGUUUCAGGAAAAGAGGUGUGGCAUCUUAUGCUCUACUGACUGUGUUUACUAGAUAUCUAUUGGCUCCAUUAAGCCUGGGAAACUGGACUCCGCAUCCUGAACUGUAGAAGUCUAAUGAGUCUUAUCAAGAAAAGUACAUGCAAAUCACAGAGAUGAUGAGAACAAUCUGCAAGGAUAUUAUGUGAUACUAAUUUGCAAAUUAUAUAAGCCGAUGAUUAGGCCAUUUGGCUGUUCAAGACUGCUGGCCGGUGAGGAAGAAAGGACAAUAUAUACUUUGCACAGCUGGAGCAAAAUGCUUAUGUGGAUGCUGGGGUGAUCAGUAGAGAUGAAAAUUAUGUAAACCAUGAUGCAGGUAAUUCUUCAUAACAGGCAAGCUUUCUGAGACCUCUGUGUUAUGUGAGAUAAUAAGCAGGUAUUUGCUGGCAGGGAAAAUUAACUGAAUUGAGGACUUAUGGGAAAAAAAAAAUCAUUUGGAAAACAGAAAAUAUGGGUUGAAAUAUUGAAAGCAAAUGUUAAAACAAGUUGAAAUGGAGAAAAACACACUGAAAAUAAGACAAUGUAAAGUGAACUAAGAUGUUAUUGCCCUUGGAAUAUUCAGAUGAAAUUAAAUUACCAUCAGACUGGACAGUCCAGGAUAGUCCUUACAUGAGAGAUAUAUCAAAUGGCUUGAAAACUAGAUAUUUUUCUCAGUUUUCAGAAUAUUUUUUUCCAUUUUAAACUUAUAGGUCCAUUGAUUGUACCCAAGACCAAGACAAUAUUCUGUGGAGUUUAUACAGUAGAUUAUCUUCAUAGUAAAUGGUUAUUUCUCUUUCUCUACCCUUGUUUGAUAGUUGCUCUGUGAUUAUUUCAUUUGUUUUUUCUGCCUUCAGCUACAUGUCUAUAAUUAGAGCAAAGAUCAUUCAGGAAUGUGCUUGUUGGAAGUCAUCACAGGCACAUCACCACAGCUUAAAAGUGACAGCUUGAUCCAUAAAUCAAUGACUACCAAACAGGACAUCUCAGCCAGUCAUUCAUAAAUGGGUGAGGCAUUCCACUGAGUUGCUUUUUGAUACAUUAACACUAGCUUUUGCUUUAACAAUAGCAGAAAUACUAUUGCAAUCCGUUAUAUCAAUAGAGUUAAAACUGCAGGUGGCCUGGAGAACCCAUUUUCAAGACUUCAUUGGAUUGGUCACUCUGUAGUUCAUGUUUGUUUCUUCAUUAUGAAGAAAUACACACAGUCACACAGUUACAACUGACCUUGAAUUAAAAAAAAAAAAAAAAAAAAAAA